ACGAACGCUGGCGGCGUGCCUAACACAUGCAAGUCGAGCGAUACGGAGGUUGGAUGUUUGAGGUUAGAGGUUUGAAUAGAAGAAAUUCCUACGGAAUUUCAACAAGUAUCCAACUUCUAAUUUUCCAACAUCUAACCUCUAUAUAGCGGCGGACGGGUGAGUAACACGUGGGGUAACCUGCCCUUGAGAGGGGGAUAACAGGUCGAAAGGGUCUGCUAAUACCGCAUAAACGCUAAAAAGCUGCAUGGCCGUCUUAGGCAAAAGUUAAUUCCCGCCUCAGGGAUGGGCCCCCGCGGCCCCAUUAGCUAGGUGGGUGAGGGUAUUGCCUCACCAAGGGCGGACCGAUUGGGUAAGCCGGGCUGAAAAAGGGUGGUCUCGGGCCCACCUGGGGACACUUGAAACAACGCCCCAAACUCCCUACCGGGAAGGCAGGCAGUGUGGGGAUAUAUUGCCGGCAAUGGGGGGAAACCCUUGAACGCAACCACGCCCCCCUGUAGACCGAUUGAAGGGCUUUUCGGUUGUGUAAGCUUUUGUGCCUUCCCUGAACGAUAUAUUGACCCGUAAGGGGAAGAGAAGGAAGCCACCGGCUAACUUCGUGUGCCACCACCGCGCGUAAAUACGUAUAGUGGGCGAGACGUUGUGCUCGGAAUUACCUGGGGCGCUAAAGGGGUGUCGCGUAAGCCGGGUCCCUUAAGUGGGGGAUGGGGAAAUCCUCUGGGCUCUCACCCAAGGAACUCUCAAUUUCCAAACCCUGGAGAGACCUAGAGGGUCCAGGAGAGAGGAAAGCGGAAUUUCCCAGUGUAGCGGGUGAAAUGCGUAGAGAUUGGGAGGAACACCAGUGGCCGAGGCGGCUUUCUGGACUGUAACUGACGCUGAGGUACGAAAGCGUGGGGAGCAAACAGGAUUUAGAUACCCUGGUAGUCCACGCUGUAAACGAUGGAUGCUAGGUGUAGGUGAGAAGGACUCAUCUGUGCCGGAGUUAACACAAUAAGCAUCCCACCUGGGGAGUACGGCCGCAAGGUUGAAACUCAAAGGAAUUGACGGGGGCCCGCACAAGCGGUGGAGCAUGUGGUUUAAUUCGAAGCAACGCGAAGAACCUUACCAGGGCUUGACAUCCUGCGGAUCUGGUGGAAACACUGGAGUGCCUGCUUUUAAGUAGGAACGCAGAGACAGGUGGUGCAUGGUUGUCGUCAGCUCGUGUCGUGAGAUGUUGGGUUAAGUCCCGCAACGAGCGCAACCCCUAUGAUUAGUUGCCAGCGGGUAGAGCCGGGCACUCUAAUCAGACUGCCGCUGAUGAAGCGGAGGAAGGUGGGGAUGACGUCAAAUCAUCAUGCCCUAUAUGUUCUGGGCUACACACGUGCUACGAAUGGUCGUGAGACAGAGGGAAGCGAAGCAGUGAUGUGGAGCGAAUCUCAGAAAAGCGACCCCAGUUCAGAUUGCAGGCUGCAAACUCGCCUGCAUGAAGUCGGAAUCGCUAGUAAUCGCGGAUCAGCAAGCCGCGGUGAAUACGUUCCCGGGCCUUGUACACACCGCCCGUCACACCAUGAGAGUUGGCAACUACCCGAAGAUACUUUAGGAAGGUAUUGAAGGUGGGGCUGAUGAUUG
This 1605-nucleotide ribosomal RNA is filed under the name uncultured bacterium. RNAcentral describes it as "partial 16S ribosomal RNA". It matches the Rfam family "Bacterial small subunit ribosomal RNA". The record is from RNAcentral.